Molecule: unclassified non-coding RNA, 308 nt
Filed under: uncultured Microbotryomycetes
Lineage: Eukaryota; Fungi; Basidiomycota; Microbotryomycetes
Description: sequence contains ITS2
Rfam family: 5.8S ribosomal RNA (bases 1-52)
Source: RNAcentral
AACGCAUCUUGCGCUCCCUGGUAUUCCGGGGAGCAUGUCUGUUUGAGUGUCAUGAACUCUUCAACCCACUAAUUUCUUGUAAAUUAUGUUGGUGUUUGGAUUUUGAGUGUUGCUGGUCUUUAUUGACGUAGCUCAUUCGUAAUACAUUAGCAUCUCUAAUUCGAAUUCGGAUUGACUCGGCGUAAUAGACUAUUCGCUGAGGACAUACUUUAUUGUGUGGCCGAAUAUGAAAGCGGAAGCUUCUAAUCAAAAUAAGUCAAUUUUUAAGAUUAGACCUCAGAUCAGGCAGGAUUACCCGCUGAACUUAA